RNAcentral lists this ribosomal RNA (253 nucleotides) under uncultured bacterium. RNAcentral describes it as "partial 16S ribosomal RNA". It matches the Rfam family "Bacterial small subunit ribosomal RNA", at positions 524 to 776 of the family's 1533-position model. The record is from RNAcentral.
UACGAAGGGUGCUAGCGUUGUUCGGAAUUACUGGGCGUAAAGCGCGCGUAGGCGGGCUGUCAAGUCAGGGGUGAAAUCCCGGAGCUCAACUCCGGAACUGCCUUUGAAACUGUCAGCCUGGAGUGUGUGAGGGGAUAGCGGAAUUCCUAAUGUAGAGGUGAAAUUCGUAGAUAUUAGGAGGAACACCGGUGGCGAAGGCGGCUAUCUGGCACACAACUGACGCUGAGGUGCGAAAGCGUGGGGAUCAAACAGG